AGAGUUUGAUCCUGGCUCAGGAUGAACGCUAGCGGCAGGCUUAACACAUGCAAGUCGAGGGGCAUCGGGAGGGAAGCUUGCUUUCCUUGCCGGCGACCGGCGCACGGGUGAGCAACACGUAUGCAACCUGCCCUCUUCAGGGGGACAACCUUCCGAAAGGGAGGCUAAUCCCGCGUAUAUCGGUUUCGGGCAUCCGAGAUCGAGGAAAGAUUCAUCGGAAGAGGAUGGGCAUGCGGCGCAUUAGCUAGACGGCGGGGUAACGGCCCACCGUGGCGACGAUGCGUAGGGGUUCUGAGAGGAAGGUCCCCCACACUGGUACUGAGACACGGACCAGACUCCUACGGGAGGCAGCAGUGAGGAAUAUUGGUCAAUGGGAGAGAUCCUGAACCAGCCAAGCCGCGUGAGGGAAGACGGCCCUAUGGGUUGUAAACCUCUUUUGUCGGAGAACAAAACCCGGGACGAGUCCCGGACUGCGUGUAUCCGAAGAAAAAGCAUCGGCUAACUCCGUGCCAGCAGCCGCGGUAAUACGGAGGAUGCGAGCGUUAUCCGGAUUUAUUGGGUUUAAAGGGUGCGUAGGCGGUCCGUUAAGUCAGCGGUAAAAUUGCGGGGCUCAACCCCGUCGAGCCGUUGAAACUGGCAGACUUGAGUUGGCGAGAAGUACGCGGAAUGCGCGGUGUAGCGGUGAAAUGCAUAGAUAUCGCGCAGAACUCCGAUUGCGAAGGCAGCGUACCGGCGCCAGACUGACGCUGAGGCACGAAAGCGUGGGGAUCGAACAGGAUUAGAUACCCUGGUAGUCCACGCAGUAAACGAUGAAUGC
Molecule: ribosomal RNA, 817 nt
Filed under: uncultured bacterium
Lineage: Bacteria
Description: bacterial SSU rRNA
Rfam family: Bacterial small subunit ribosomal RNA
Source: RNAcentral